RNAcentral lists this ribosomal RNA (461 nucleotides) under Streptococcus mitis. RNAcentral's name for it is "bacterial SSU rRNA". It matches the Rfam family "Bacterial small subunit ribosomal RNA", at positions 28 to 474 of the family's 1533-position model. The record is from RNAcentral. Lineage: Bacteria; Bacillati; Bacillota; Bacilli; Lactobacillales; Streptococcaceae.
GACGAACGCGGCGGCGUGCCUAAUACAUGCAAGUAGAACGCUGAAGGAGGAGCUUGCUUCUCCGGAUGAGUUGCGAACGGGUGAGUAACGCGUAGGUAACCUGCCUGGUAGCGGGGGAUAACUAUUGGAAACGAUAGCUAAUACCGCAUAAGAGUAGAUGUUGCAUGACAUUUACUUAAAAGGUGCAAUUGCAUCACUACCAGAUGGACCUGCGUUGUAUUAGCUAGUUGGUGAGGUAACGGCUCACCAAGGCGACGAUACAUAGCCGACCUGAGAGGGUGAUCGGCCACACUGGGACUGAGACACGGCCCAGACUCCUACGGGAGGCAGCAGUAGGGAAUCUUCGGCAAUGGACGGAAGUCUGACCGAGCAACGCCGCGUGAGUGAAGAAGGUUUUCGGAUCGUAAAGCUCUGUUAUAAGAGAAGAACGAGUGUGAGAGUGGAAAGUUCACACUGUGACG